CUGGGGUAAGAGCUCUCCUCUCAUUUCAGUGAAGAGGCUCUUUCAGCUCAUCUCAGCUUGUUUCCAGCAGGUGUUUCUGGGCAUCUAAAGCACAGAGGCUUUGAAGAUUCUGUGAAGUAAACAGCAUGGAAUACAGGGAGUAUUUAGACUCAUGAUUUUGGCUUUUGUGUUUAGGGGUGGUAAAGUGCAUUUGUAAUUUCUGGUUUUGUUCUUGUUUUGUUUUGUAUUUUUUUUAGGAGGAGCGCAGCAUCCAGAGGUUCCUGGUUGUGUCAAGUGCAACACUUUUUUCAGCAGAUUCAUCAUGUCACAAGAGGGAUCUGCCCAGUGUCAAGGAUGAUGUUUGAGAUUGAGGCUUCAGGUGAGUUGAGGAUUGUGAUUAGGAGAGGGAGGGUGGGCAGGUAUACAGUUAGGAAUUAUUGUGGGCGGGGGGACGUUUGAAGGCAGCAGGGUGAGAAAGGGUGUUUAUUUGUUUAUUUGAGGACCCCCCCUAAGGCUUCUCAGAAGCCUAGCAGAGGUAUUCCCAUGUCCUACAGCACACAAGGUUAUCUACUGCACUCAUAGGAAUGCUAUUCAACUUUGCCUUUCUGUAACCCAGGUGCCACUGCUAAUAAAGGCCACAGCCUUGGAAUCAGGGUGAAGCUGGAGCCUAAAGCAGCCAGGCACACUCAGGAGAGGGCAAGUAGCUGACUUGCUGGGAUUUGGCCCACAUAAAUCUGGACUCAUACUUUGGUUUUGGUUUUCUUUAUUGUAGCUAACCAAGAAGCUAACAGGCCAUCACGAGGCGUUCCAAGGCAGACUCAUUUCAGGUGCAACAUGGAUCCACAUCACCAAUCAAACAAAAGAUAAGUUGGGGGCUAGGGCUUGGAGAUGGGAUGAUGGGAGAGUAGCAGGUUGGGAGUUCUUGGGACAGAUUUAAAAAUUAGCAGAGGGAAAAGUAAUCUUCUUCAAGGGCCUCUUAGGACAGCUAAAGGGAGAGGCUCUACUUUUGAUGGCAGCUUUCAGGCAGGCAGUGCAGAACAGUUCUGGUCUAUGUUGUGUUGUCCAGUGUGCUGUGUUACCUAGUGUGUCUUUGGGGUCCCUUUUACCUUCUCUCCUCGAGGCCCUCACCACAAGCAUGAUGUGUCAUGUUUAAUGUCCCCCUGUUUGGCACGUUCUGUGUCACGGGCAUCUGCACACAUUUGUGCCAGAGCUGUCCUGCCCUGCCACAUAGUCUGCUGCAAUAGGACAAGUCCCGGGGACUUGCAGUUUGUGGGGUGUCACUGGACUCUAGAUGAUAUUUCUAGAUAGACACAAGAUGUUUGGAGCUGUGAAGUCAUCCUGCAGCCCUUUGACUUUUGUCCUAACUUUCAGAUGCAGAGGAUAAAAUCCAGGGCAUCCACCCAUGCCGGGUGAGGAGGUUCCCCAGAGCAGGUCAGUCACUGUUUGUCUCUGCAGGGUGAGUGUAAAGUGUGACUCUGUUACAGCACUGUUCUUUUUCUUUUUAGGAAGUAAAGCUGGAUAUCAGCAGUCAAGGUGAGAUGGGCAAGGCAAUCCACUCAGAGCACGCCAAGCCCCGGUCACCGACCGGCCAAUGGACUGGGUUUGCUGCUCUCCUGAGCCCUGCGGAAGUAUCACGGGACUCUGUGAUGAAGCCUCUGCCUUUUCCUAGUUAAAGGCGUCGCCAGGGUGUAGCCUUUGGUACUGGCCGAGAAGUUGCAGCGUACCCCGCGACAACAGCGUCAGCCUCUGAGUGAGGCCGAAGUGUGCAGCACCAGGAGCCGGGCAUUCUUAGGAGAACAACAAAGAAAUAACAGGAAGUUGUUGAACAACAGUGCCAGCAGCAAAUACCCAGAUGUCGAGGCUGCCUUCUUUCGCACCUGACAUGGACCAGCAUGCCCAGAUGUCUGAGGGCUACGACCCACAGAGGGGAUGAAAGUGGGGUGUGGGGCAGGGACCCACCGGGAGGGGUUUUUGAGUCUGCUUUGGAGAUGGGGGUGUCUAGAAAGUGGCUGCUUAGGCCACAUAAAUGCAAAGUCUCACUUUUGAUCACAGUGCUGAGGUGUACAGCAGGGCAGAGCAGUCCCAGUGUGUAUUGUGUCACUUGUCUAUCGUGCAUUAUGUGUUGCUUGUGUAUCUCAUGUCUUUUACCUUAGCCUUUUGAGAGGCCUGUCAGAAACCUUCGCACCAUUCUUAGCAUCCAUGAUCUCAGCAUUCCUUGCCCUGGCACCCAUGCCAUGGAACUUUUGACUGGAGAGCUCAGACAGGCAUCAGAAAUGCAUCUCUCUUAGGAAGCAUCCAGUCAGAUGUCUUGUCAGGUCUUGUUCUGAGCUGUACGGACAGCUAUGCCCCGCCAGGAUCCAUUAUGGCUGAUUAGGACUUGUAAGAAUGUGAGGUUAGGGAGAGGAUUCUGACUGUAGGAUUCCUAGGCAUCAAUCUUUGCAGUUCUUGGAAGAGAUGAUUCAGUUAACAUCAUCUUCCACCAGGGUUCUCUGAGCCUCAUCAGCUCACCAUCGGUCUCACCUCGGUCAUUUCCUUUUGCAUUCUCUCAAUCCUGGCAGCCAUUUUUCUUACAAAGGGAUUUCUGUCUGUGUAUUGUGCCAUUUGUUUGUCACGUCCUGUCUGUCCUGUGUCAUGGGUGUCAGCACACAUUUGUGCCAGAGCUGCUCUGCCCUGCUGCAUAGCCUGGUGCAAUAGGAGGCAUCUCAGGGGCUUGGAAUUUGUAAUGUGGGGUGCAGGUGGACUCUAGAUGGAAUUUGGAGAUGGACACAGGAUAUCUGGAGCCCAUAAGUUAUCCUG
Molecule: non-coding RNA, 2775 nt
Organism: Zonotrichia albicollis (white-throated sparrow)
Lineage: Eukaryota; Metazoa; Chordata; Aves; Passeriformes; Passerellidae
Source: RefSeq, a predicted model, not a curated record